ACUAUCAAAUCAAUUCGUCGUCGAGAAUUGAAUAGUAUAACAUAGGAAGUUCUUUUAUCCAUACCGCCCCAAACUUGGAUUCCUGACCCAAUCCAAAGAUCCUUUAUUUAUUUAUCAUUAUCAUUUUUUAUCAUAUGUUCUUUUUUUCUCUCUAAUCUAUCUAGUUCCUUCUUAUACCAUCAUCUGAUGAAGUCUCAUCAAAUAGCUCUUCCACUUCCAGUGGUCACAUAGUUACAAACCCAACAAACAAUAAAAGCUAAAUGGAAAAAGAAAGGAGUUUAGAACUAAACUAUUUUUGACUUUUU
RNAcentral lists this long non-coding RNA (305 nucleotides) under Nicotiana benthamiana. RNAcentral describes it as "long non-coding RNA (NBEN_LNC028690)". Lineage: Eukaryota; Viridiplantae; Streptophyta; Magnoliopsida; Solanales; Solanaceae. The record is from RNAcentral.